Non-coding RNA from Syngnathus acus (greater pipefish), 1085 nucleotides. Lineage: Eukaryota; Metazoa; Chordata; Actinopteri; Syngnathiformes; Syngnathidae. The record is from the annotation of a RefSeq genome assembly.
UUCCCAGCUGACACUUGAGCCAUCAUGUGCGAAUUGUUCUUGUCCUUUCUUCUCUUUUUUUAUAUCCCCGCACAGGCCACCAUCACCAGAAUGGACCAAACCCCGGCCGACGCCAUCAAGGCGGCGGGCGACGACGUAAUCAUGAGCUGCAACCAUUCCAGCAAUCGAGGUUUUAAUAUGAUCUGGUACAAGCAGACCGCUCUGGCAGCCGCCUUCACCCAAGUGGCCCGGACGGGUGUGAAAAAUGUGGUGGUGGACGCUGACGUGUACCGGCUGACUGGCAGCGCCUCUCACUCGUCCCUUGGCGUCAACCGCCUCCGGCCUUCCGAGAACGGUGUGUACUUCUGCGCCGCCACGGAGGCGCACACGACGAUGCAUGACCUCGUCAGCCCCACCACAAAACGCCUUAAAUCCUGUUCCCCUUUUGAUAUAUUCUACAAUACACAUUUGUGUUUGGCUGUGGUUAACUUUUUCUUUCACACUCAUCUGUUGAGAGUCAAUGAAUGAACGUCUCAUCUUUUGGGGGUUAAAAGAAUCCGGAAACCACUGCGUGCCAGCCAAUCAGCUCGUCUCGACUGUUGCUCUUCAAACUGGCAGGAGUGAAGAACAGGCAGCACAGUCACCUCAUGUGACCCACCAGACGAUGUUUCUCUUGGUGCUGAGCUUGGCGGCUAGCGUUACUCUGCUCUCAGGACAGGAUGUCACGCAGAAACCCGCCGACAUUGUGGAGGCGGUGGGCCACUCGGUCACGAUUGAGUGUACGCACCGCAUACCGUCCUACGAUAUGAUGCUGUGGUACCGGCAGCGCGGCAGGGGCAUGCAGCUCAUCGGGUACAUGUACUUCAAAACUGUCACGAUGGAGCCCGGGGAGGAUGACGUCCAGCUGACUGGGAGCGCCGAAUCUGGCGAAACGUGCAAGAUGGUCAUCCCCGCACUGCACUGGAACAGCAGUGCUGUUUAUUACUGUGCAGCCAGAUACCACGGUGCAGUGUCGUGUUGAAUCGUGAAGUCAUAAACCUUAUCACACAAUCAGAGUCCCCCUAAUACCACAAUGCACCUGGAUCAAAACAUUCCAAGCACUCAAG